CAGCCGCCGCGGUAAUACGAAGGGUGCAAGCGUUAAUCGGAAUUACUGGGCGUAAAGCGUGCGCAGGCGGUUUGUUAAGACAGAUGUGAAAUCCCCGGGCUCAACCUGGGAACUGCAUUUGUGACUGGCAAGCUAGAGUGUGGCAGAGGGGGGUGGAAUUCCGCGUGUAGCAGUGAAAUGCGCAGAUAUGCGGAGGAACACCGAUGGCGAAGGCAGCCCCCUGGGCCAACACUGACGCUCAUGCACGAAAGCGUGGGGAGCAAACAGGAUUAGAUACCCCCGUAGUCCCUGUCUCUUAUAC
Molecule: ribosomal RNA, 301 nt
Filed under: uncultured bacterium
Lineage: Bacteria
Description: partial 16S ribosomal RNA
Rfam family: Bacterial small subunit ribosomal RNA
Source: RNAcentral